CCAUACCACCCUGUGCACGACUGAUCUCAUCUGAUCCUGGAAGUUAAGCAGGGUCAGGCCUGGUUAGUAAUCCGAUGGAAAACCACCUGGAAAUACCAGGUGG
RNAcentral lists this ribosomal RNA (103 nucleotides) under Amphilophus citrinellus (Midas cichlid). Lineage: Eukaryota; Metazoa; Chordata; Actinopteri; Cichliformes; Cichlidae. The record is from RNAcentral.